UACGUAGGGGGCAAGCGUUGUCCGGAUUUAUUGGGCGUAAAGAGCGUGUAGGCGGCCUGGUAGGUCAGCUGUGAAAACUCGAGGCUCAACCUCGAGACGCCGGUUGAAACCAUCAGGCUAGAGUCCGGAAGAGGAGAGUGGAAUUCCCGGUGUAGCGGUGAAAUGCGCAGAUAUCGGGAAGAACACCCGUGGCUAAGGCGGCUCUCUAGUACGGUACUGACGCUGAGGCACGAAAGCGUGGGGGAUCAAACAGG
Molecule: ribosomal RNA, 254 nt
Filed under: uncultured bacterium
Lineage: Bacteria
Description: partial 16S ribosomal RNA
Rfam family: Bacterial small subunit ribosomal RNA
Source: RNAcentral